AUGGAGAUGGUGGAGAAGCUUUCUCUCACCACAAGACCACAUCCACAUCCUUACUACAUCCAAUGGUUCAACAACAGCGGCAAGGUUAAGGUAACACGUACUGUUCGUGUGCAUUUUAGUAUCUCUACAUAUGCUGAUUAUGUUGAUUGUGAUGUGGUACCUAUGCAAGCAUGUUCCUUAUUACUUGGUAGACCAUGGCAAUUUGAUACAAAUUCUGUACACCAUGGUAGAAACAAUCACUAUACUCUUGUUCAUAAGGAUAAAAAUAUUACUUUGCUUCCUAUGACUCCUGAUUCCAUUUUGAAAGAUGAUAUUAAUAGAGCUAAUAAAGCACAACAGGAGAAGAAUAAGAGUGAAAAUCAGAUUGUGGCAAAAGAAUUUGAGCAACAAAUGAAGCCUAAUAAUAAACCAUCUAGUGUUGCUUCUGAAAUUAAAUUGAAAAGUGCAUGUUUAUUUGCCACCAAAUCUGAUAUUGAUGAGCUAGAUUUCAGCAAAUCUGUUUGCUAUGCUUUUGUGUGCAAAGAGGCAUUAUUUUCAUUCGAGGACGUGCCUUCCUCUUUGCCUCCUGCUGUCACUAACAUUUUGCAGGAGUUCGCUGACGUUUUUCCACAAGACGUUCCACCGGGAUUACCGCCUAUUCGAGGGAUUGAGCAUCAGAUUGACUUAAUUCCCGGUGCUUCACUGCCAAACCGUGCACCAUACCGUACCAAUCCAGAGGAGACGAAGGAGAUUAUGCGUCAAGUACAAGAGCUUCUCGACAAAGGUUAUAUACGCGAAUCCCUUAGUCCUUGUGCUGUUCCUAUUAUUCUAGUGCCGAAAAAGGAUGGUACAUCACGUAUGUGUGUUGAUUGUAGAGGCAUUAAUAAUAUUACUAUUCGUUAUCGUCAUCCUAUUCCUAGGCUAGAUGAUAUGCUUGAUGAAUUGAGUGGCUCUACAAUAUUCUCCAAAGUUGAUUUGCGUAGUGGCUACCAUCAAAUUUGUAUGAAAUUGGGAGAUGAAUGGAAAACAGCAUUUAAAACUAAGUUUGGAUUAUAUGAGUGGUUAGUCAUACCUUUUGGGUUAACUAAUGCACCUAGUACUUUCAUGAGAUUAAUGAACGAAGUUUUACGUGCUUUCAUUGGACGAUUUGUGGUAGUUUACUUUGAUGACAUAUUGAUUUAUAGCAGAUCCUUGGAAGAACAUUUGGAACAUUUACGUGCUGUUUUUAUUGCUCUACGUGAUGCACGUUUGUUUGGUAACCUUGGGAAGUGCACCUUUUGCACCGACCGAGUAUCUUUUCUUGGCCAUGUUGUUACUCCACAGGGAAUUGAAGUUGAUAAAGCCAAGAUUGAAGCUAGUGAGAGUUGGCCGCAGCCCAAAACGGUCACACAAGUGAGGAGUUUUCUUGGCCUCGCUGGAUUCUAUAGGCGUUUUGUGAGAGAUUUCAGCACCAUUGCUGCACCUCUCAAUGAGCUUACAAAGAAAGAUGUGCCUUUUCUUUGGGGUACCGCACAGGAAGAAGCCUUCAUGGUAUUGAAAGAUAAGUUGACACAUGCUCCUUUACUCCAACUUCCUGAUUUUAAUAAGACUUUUGAGCUUGAAUGUGAUGCUAGUGGAAUUGGAUUAGGAGGUGUGUUAUUACAAGAUGGCAAACCUGUUGCAUACUUUUCUGAAAAAUUGAGUGGGCCUAGUCUGAAUUAUUCUACUUAUGAUAAAGAAUUAUAUGCUCUUGUUCGGACUUUAGAAACAUGGCAACAUUAUUUAUGGCCCAAAGAAUUUGUUAUACAUUCUGAUCAUGAAUCAUUGAAACAUAUUAAAAGUCAAGCUAAACUGAAUCGAAGACAUGCUAAAUGGGUUGAAUUCAUUGAGACUUUCCCUUAUGUCAUUAAACACAAGAAGGGAAAAGAAAAUGUUAUUGCUGAUGCUUUGUCUCGUCGCUAUACUAUGCUUUCACAACUUGACUUCAAAAUAUUUGGUUUGGAGACCAUCAAAGAUCAAUAUGUGCAUGAUGCUGAUUUUAAAGAUGUAAUGCAUAAUUGUAAAGAAGGAAGAAUGUGGAACAAGUUUGUUGUUAACGAUGGAUUUGUGUUUCGUGCUAACAAGCUAUGCAUUCCAGCUAGCUCCGUUCGUCUUUUGUUGUUGCAGGAGGCGCAUGGAGGAGGAUUAAUGGGACACUUUGGCUGA
Molecule: ribosomal RNA, 2163 nt
Filed under: Triticum aestivum (bread wheat)
Lineage: Eukaryota; Viridiplantae; Streptophyta; Magnoliopsida; Poales; Poaceae
Description: partial small subunit ribosomal RNA
Source: RNAcentral